GGUGACGAGUGGCGGACGGGUGAGUAAUGUCUGGGAAACUGCCUGAUGGAGGGGGAUAACUACUGGAAACGGUAGCUAAUACCGCAUAACGUCGCAAGACCAAAGAGGGGGACCUUCGGGCCUCUUGCCAUCAGAUGUGCCCAGAUGGGAUUAGCUAGUAGGUGGGGUAACGGCUCACCUAGGCGACGAUCCCUAGCUGGUCUGAGAGGAUGACCAGCCACACUGGAACUGAGACACGGUCCAGACUCCUACGGGAGGCAGCAGUGGGGAAUAUUGCACAAUGGGCGCAAGCCUGAUGCAGCCAUGCCGCGUGUAUGAAGAAGGCCUUCGGGUUGUAAAGUACUUUCAGCGGGGAGGAAGGUGUUGAGGUUAAUAACCUCAGCAAUUGACGUUACCCGCAGAAGAAGCACCGGCUAACUCCGUGCCAGCAGCCGCGGUAAUACGGAGGGUGCAAGCGUUAAUCGGAAUUACUGGGCGUAAAGCGCACGCAGGCGGUCUGUCAAGUCGGAUGUGAAAUCCCCGGGCUCAACCUGGGAACUGCAUUCGAAACUGGCAGGCUAGAGUCUUGUAGAGGGGGGUAGAAUUCCAGGUGUAGCGGUGAAAUGCGUAGAGAUCUGGAGGAAUACCGGUGGCGAAGGCGGCCCCCUGGACAAAGACUGACGCUCAGGUGCGAAAGCGUGGGGAGCAAACAGGA
Molecule: ribosomal RNA, 694 nt
Filed under: Enterobacter ludwigii
Lineage: Bacteria; Pseudomonadati; Pseudomonadota; Gammaproteobacteria; Enterobacterales; Enterobacteriaceae
Description: bacterial SSU rRNA
Rfam family: Bacterial small subunit ribosomal RNA
Source: RNAcentral